Molecule: unclassified non-coding RNA, 257 nt
Filed under: plant metagenome
Description: partial contains small subunit ribosomal RNA, internal transcribed spacer 1, and 5.8S ribosomal RNA
Rfam family: Eukaryotic small subunit ribosomal RNA (bases 1-53)
Source: RNAcentral
GGAAGUAAAGUCGUAACAAGGUUUCCGUAGGUGAACCUGCGGAAGGAUCAUUACUGAGUGAGGGCCCCUCGGGGUCCAACCUCCCACCCGUGUUUAACGAACCUUGUUGCUUCGGCGGGCCCGCCUCACGGCCGCCGGGGGGCAUCUGCCCCCGGGCCCGCGCCCGCCGAAGCCACCUGUGAACGCUGUCUGAAGUAUGCAGUCUGAGACAAUUAUUAAAUUAAUUAAAACUUUCAACAACGGAUCUCUUGGUUCCG